This is a long non-coding RNA of Silurus meridionalis, 790 nucleotides long. RefSeq lists it as uncharacterized. The record is from RefSeq and is a predicted model, not a curated record. The transcript has 3 exons. Lineage: Eukaryota; Metazoa; Chordata; Actinopteri; Siluriformes; Siluridae.
GUGUGUGUGUGUGCGUGUGUUAUGAUUAAUGUUUGCCCAUCUGUCUUGUCUUUGUCUCUUCAGGAUGCAAGGUGCCAUGCUUGAUAUAUAGAAGAUUUCAGCUUAUUAUAUCCUUUCAGCCACCUGAUGGAGAGUCGUCUGAGUAUUUAGGAGAGUCGAAAAAUGAUUUGCCAGGAAGAGGAAGCUGAACCUACAGAGGGCAGAGACCCACCAAAGCUGCACAGAUGAAGAUUGAAAAGAACCUGAAGCUUGAUCUCUGGUCUGUCAACAGCAUGCCAGAUGGGCGCUAUUUCUCACCCGCUUCCAUUACACGAUCACAUAUCUUCCAGGCUCCAAGAAUAUGAAAGCAGAUGCCCUGUCCCAAAUUUAUGGCCCCGACGACCCCACAGCCCCCAAACCUAUCGUUCCACCUAGUCUAAUCCUCAGCUCCAUUGUGUGGGAUUCAGAGGAGGAGAUCAGAACGUAAACUGUAACCUGUAGAUCAGACCCCAGACAGGACAUCUUGGACCCAUCCUGGAGGAGUUUCACACCGUUCACCCUAACCGUCCCUGGUGCCAGGUUAGGGUGUCAGGAGCCACCCCUGGAGGAGGGGGUAAUGUCAGAGAACCACCAGCCAUGCCUCCCUCCUGCACUCAACACUCUUGCUCAGCCUCUCCCUCCUACUUAUCACCUACACCUGUUCCCCAUUUACAUUCCCCUUUAUAAGGCCCCCAUUUCCCCUCACUCACCAUCCGAUCUACAGUUUACUCCAUAAAUCAUUACGGACUACCUACUGUUCUGUGUGUUUCCA